GGCAACAUGGCCGAGUGGUUAAGGCGCUAGAUCCAGGUUAUUUAGCCUUCUAGUACGAAAGUGCGUGGGUUCGAGUCCCACUGUUGUCA
Molecule: non-coding RNA, 89 nt
Organism: Armillaria mellea
Lineage: Eukaryota; Fungi; Basidiomycota; Agaricomycetes; Agaricales; Physalacriaceae
Source: the annotation of a GenBank genome assembly